This is a long non-coding RNA of Oncorhynchus tshawytscha (Chinook salmon), 2755 nucleotides long. Lineage: Eukaryota; Metazoa; Chordata; Actinopteri; Salmoniformes; Salmonidae. The record is from Ensembl.
UGAGGAUAGGUCUGAUGGAAGAGGUGGUGGUAGAUGUUGAGGAUAGGUCUGAUGGAAGAGGUGGUGGUAGAUGUUGAGGAUAGGUCUGAUGGAAGAGGUGGUGGUAGAUGUUGAGGAUAGGUCUGAUGGAAGGGGAGGUGUUAGAGGUUGAGGAUAGGUCUGAUGGAAGAGGAGGUGGUUAGAAGUUGAGGAUAGGUCUGAUGGAAGAGGAGGUAGAAAGUGCACUUCUCUGCCAGCCAGGUCAACCUCUAAAAAGAAAGACCUUUACCGGUUAAAUACAUCCAAAAAGACACAGGUAUUUUCUGGUCUCUUUAAUUUAGAUAGAACAGUCUGACGGUGGAGUCAUACAGGUAAGAAUAUAAAUUCAUCCCAUUCUGAAAGCACUUCAUACACAAUGUUCUUUUUUGUUACAGGCUCGACUGAAAUAGAGAUCUUGGUCUCAGCAUAACCAUUAUUAUACAUGUCAUUUACUGGUAGCUGGCAGUCUCAGACUGAAUUGUAGGCCUAAACUACUUUAAAUACACCCUUCUCUGUCUCUUUCCUCUUGCAGCAUAUGAGACAUCUGUAUGCUGUAGCGGUGGAGGUCCAAGGAGCCUAGAAAUAACUAAGUCAGAAAAAGACCCGAGGGGGGAUAGGAAGUGUGUGCAUCUCAAGAGGCUGGGUCGUAGCAGGUGCUUCCUCUGACAAACACACACGACAGACCGCUCCUUAUACUGACAUCUUCCUAGUCCAGUUAACCUUGUCACUCUUGCUCUUUCUCUCACACACAAGCGCUCUAAGGCUGUGCCCUUGCCCAGAACAAAAGAAAAAAAGAAAACGGCACCCUGCAAUAACUCUGCGGACUCCAAGCAAAUAGAAACUGAAGAAUGGAAGGCUCCAGAAUGUCUCUCCAUCUUCUCUUCUUCCUUCUGAUUGGACAAGCUUCACACACCAGCAUUACUCAGCCUCAGACCACUAAUGCCAUAUAUCCAACUGACAUAACCUCAAUUACCCAAGAGGAAAAUGACACCUCCAGCUCUCCCACAAAGGCCACCACGGGCUGCCUCAUCAAGCCCCAGUUGGGCUUCAUAGUGGUGACCUGCGCCGGGGGCCUGGUCCUGUUUCUGCUCGUCUCUACUGUGGUCCUGGCCUCCCAGGUGUGCAGUCUUAGGCGCCAAGCCCGUGCCCCUCGCCCCGCCCGCAGUAACGUGGACCUGGUGAGUGGCGCGGGCUACUGGGACACAGAGCACUCUGAGGGGGGCAUAGUGGGGCCCUGUGAUACCAGUGUCAUGUUGGAGGAGGUCCGUUUGGAUGGAGAAGAGGAUGAAGAGCAGGGGGAAGAAGAGGAGGAGGAAAGGGAGGAGGAGCAGGCAGAAGGGGUCAGAUGCCAAACAGGGGAUGCGAGAACAACUGGCGAAAUAGCCAUGCAGAUGCAGAGUUCCAGCUCCAGGGAUUUGUGUCUGGAAAUCCCCCAGGAUCUAGAGAACAUGCCCCUAGUGGUGUGAGUAGAGCAUUGCAUGCACUCCCUCUCCAGCCUCAGAGAGCCAUGGCCUGGCUCAGAGCUGAACUUCACUCAGGCAUAGAUAUCAACAGGCCAGAUCAGCUCCAGUCUUGUGCCUCAAGUCAAAACAAAGAGUAUUUGUUAUUUUUUUAAUAAGUACUCGAGCUAUAUGUAAUCAAUUUUAGGAGCUUUUACAUAUUUGCUUUGUAAACUGCAUUAAUCUGAUUUGGAAUGAUUUUGUCUCAAAUUUAUUUCUAUAGAGAACAUUUGAAUAGGCUGUUGGGAGCAGCAAGACAUUAAUUUGAAAUAAUGUGCUACGAACAGCACACUACUGCCAACUGCCCAAGUUAAUUAAGCUUACAGCUUACUACGAAGGUUCAGGAUCUUUGUACGGGGGGGGGGGGUCACUUAUAUUUUACAUUUGAGUCAUUUAGCAGACGCUCUUAUCCAGAGUGACUUACAGGAGCAACUAGGGUAAAUUACCUUGCUCAAGGGCAUAUUGACAAAUUAAAAACAGUGACCUUUCGGUUACUGGCCCAAAGCUCUUAACUGCCAAAUUCAAUCAUAUUAGCAGUACACUAUGCCAACUUCCCUUAAUGGCAGAGGUGUAACAAAGUGUAACAAAAAGGUAUUAAGCUUACGUAGAAAGUAUAUUUUGUUGAAGAUUGAAAUGAUAGAAACUCAACUCCAAUAUGUAAUAGAAUGGAAGCCCCCCCCCCAUCUCUAUUGACACUGUAGGCUAAAAGAUUCCUUCUCAGCAAACAAGCACUCAAACAUUGUCUACCAUAUAUAUAACUGAAUGUGGUGGCUUCUCCCCAAGACAUUAAAUGUCAAACAUUGUAUAAUAUAUGUUGUCCAAUCUAAACUGUCCUAUCUACCUGUAUUAAAAAAAUAUAAUAAUAAAACACACUCAAAUAUGCCAACAUGCUUGCUGGUCAGAUGUGAGUUCAGUUAAAAUGAUUACUUUCCACCAACUUGAUGUGAACUUCCUUUCCUUUAUCUGAAGUGAUUCCAUGCACAAAUACUAUACCAAGGGUAAACUUUGAACAUCUUGUUGCCAUCGGUGGCUGGGCACAGAGAUAGCAUUGGGCCUGCCAAGCCUACUUGUUACAUUAAUAAGUCUUCCCCUCAACCUUCACGUGUCAGUCGAGCAGUCACAGAACACCUAACUCAUUUGUUUCCACUCCUCUCUACUAAGGCUAACUUCUUUUCUCUUUUCUGUAAAAAUACAAUAUUUGUUUAAAUGCCACAACCCAAAUAAAUGGAGGUUUUGUG